This 349-nucleotide ribosomal RNA is filed under the name uncultured bacterium. Its description in RNAcentral is "bacterial SSU rRNA". It matches the Rfam family "Bacterial small subunit ribosomal RNA", at positions 9 to 352 of the family's 1533-position model. The record is from RNAcentral.
GAGUUUGAUCAUGGACUCAGUGACGAUCGCUGGCGGCGUGCACUAACACAUGCAAGUCGAGGGGUAAGGUCCCGAGUAAUCGGGAUACACGACCGGCGCACGGGUGAGUAACGCGUAUGCAACCAACCAUCAACAGGGAGAUAGCUCCCGGAAACGGGAAUUAAUAUUCCAUAAUAUUUUUUUAUGGCAUCAUAGAAAGAUUAAAGCUCAGGCGGUUGAAGAUGGACAUGCGUGACAUUAGCUAGUUGGUAAGGUAACGGCUUACCAAGGCUACGAUGUCUAGGGGGUCUGAGAGGAUGAUCCCCCACACAGGUACUGAGACACGGACCAGACUCCUACGGGAGGCAGC